GAUGAACGCUGGCGGCGUGCCUAAUACAUGCCAGUCGAGCGAACAGACGAGGAGCUUGCUCCUUUGACGUUAGCGGCGGACGGGUGAGUAACACGUGGGUAACCUACCUCUAAGACUGGGAUAACUUCGGGAAACCGGAGCUAAUACCGGAUAAUAUUUCGAACCGCAUGGUUCGAUAGUGAAAGAUGGCUCUGCUAUCACUUAUAGAUGGACCUGCGCCGUAUUAGCUAGUUGGUAAGGUAACGGCUUACCAAGGCAACGAUACGUAGCCGACCUGAGAGGGUGAUCGGCCACACUGGAACUGAGACACGGUCCAGACUCCUACGGGAGGCAGCAGUAGGGAAUCUUCCGCAAUGGGCGAAAGCCUGACGGAGCAACGCCGCGUGAGUGAUGAAGGUCUUCGGAUCGUAAAACUCUGUUAUUAGGGAAGAACAAACGUGUAAGUAACUGUGCACGUCUUGACGGUACCUAAUCAGAAAGCCACGGCUAACUACGUG
This 497-nucleotide ribosomal RNA is filed under the name uncultured bacterium. RNAcentral's name for it is "partial 16S ribosomal RNA". It matches the Rfam family "Bacterial small subunit ribosomal RNA", at positions 28 to 507 of the family's 1533-position model. The record is from RNAcentral.